This 468-nucleotide ribosomal RNA is filed under the name Heterixalus tricolor (three-color reed frog). RNAcentral describes it as "partial 16S ribosomal RNA". It matches the Rfam family "Bacterial large subunit ribosomal RNA", at positions 675 to 1220 of the family's 2925-position model. Lineage: Eukaryota; Metazoa; Chordata; Amphibia; Anura; Hyperoliidae. The record is from RNAcentral.
CAGCAAGCAAAACGAAAUUUUAGUUUGCACCCCCGAAACUAAGUGAGCUACUUUAAAACAGCCACAUGGGCCAACUCGUCUCUGUUGCAAAAGAGUGAGAAGAUUUUUAAGUAGAAGUGACAAGCCUACCGAACUUAGAGAUAGCUGGUUAUUUGGGAAAAGAAUAUUAGUUCUGCCUUAAGCUUACAUUAACACCUCCUUUUAAAGCAUCUUAAGAGUUAUUCAAAUAAGGUACAGCCUAUUUGAUACAGGAAACAACCUAAAACAUAGGGUAACGCUACCUACAAAUUGUAUAAUUAAGUUUGGCCUAAAAGCAGCCAUCUUUUAAAAAGCGUCAAAGCUUAAUUAUUUAAUAACAACAAUUACAACAAAAAUGCUAAACCCACCACCACUACCAAAUAACUUUAUAUAACUAUAAAAGAUAUUAUGCUAAAACUAGUAAUAAGAAAAUGACUUUCUCCUAAAUAU